GAGUUUGAUCCUGGCUCAGAGCGAACGCUGGCGGCAGGCCUAACACAUGCAAGUCGAACGGAUCCUUCGGGAUUAGUGGCGGACGGGUGAGUAACACGUGGGAACGUGCCUUUUGGUUCGGAAUAACUCAGGGAGACCUGAGCUAAUACCGAAUGUGCCCUUCGGGGAAAGAUUUAUCGCCAUUAGAGCGGCCCGCGUCUGAUUAGCUAGUUGGUGAGGUAAAGGCUCACCAAGGCGACGAUCAGUAGCUGGUCUGAGAGGAUGAUCAGCCACACUGGGACUGAGACACGGCCCAGACUCCUACGGGAGGCAGCAGUGGGGAAUCUUGCGCAAUGGGCGAAAGCCUGACGCAGCCAUGCCGCGUGAAUGAUGAAGGUCUUAGGAUUGUAAAAUUCUUUCACCGGGGACGAUAAUGACGGUACCCGGAGAAGAAGCCCCGGCUAACUUCGUGCCAGCCGCCGCAGUAAC
This 468-nucleotide ribosomal RNA is filed under the name uncultured Alphaproteobacteria bacterium. Its description in RNAcentral is "bacterial SSU rRNA". It matches the Rfam family "Bacterial small subunit ribosomal RNA", at positions 9 to 524 of the family's 1533-position model. The record is from RNAcentral. Lineage: Bacteria; Pseudomonadati; Pseudomonadota; Alphaproteobacteria.